AUAUUGGACAAUGGGCGCAAGCCUGAUCCAGCCAUGCCGCGUGUGUGAAGAAGGCCUUCGGGUUGUAAAGCACUUUUGUCCGGAAAGAAGGCGAAUCGGCGAAUACCCGGUUUGGAUGACGGUACCGUAAGAAUAAGCACCGGCUAACUACGUGCCAGCAGCCGCGGUAAUACGUAGGGUGCGCACGUUAAUCGGAAUUACUGGGCGUAAAGCGUGCGCAGGCGGUUUUGUAAGACAGAGGUGAAAUCCCCGGGCUCAACCUGGGAACUGCCGUUGUGACUGCAAGGCUGGAGUGCGGCAGAGGGCGAUGGAAUUCCACGUGUAGCAGUGAAAUGCGUAGAGAUGCGGAGGAACACCGAUGGCGAAGGCAAUCCCCUUGGCCGGCACGGACGCUCAUGCACGAAAGCGUGGGGAGCAA
RNAcentral lists this ribosomal RNA (418 nucleotides) under uncultured bacterium. RNAcentral describes it as "bacterial SSU rRNA". It matches the Rfam family "Bacterial small subunit ribosomal RNA", at positions 361 to 771 of the family's 1533-position model. The record is from RNAcentral.